Molecule: ribosomal RNA, 301 nt
Filed under: uncultured bacterium
Lineage: Bacteria
Description: partial 16S ribosomal RNA
Rfam family: Bacterial small subunit ribosomal RNA
Source: RNAcentral
CAGUCGCCGCGGGAAUACGUAGGGCGCAAGCGUUAUCCGGAUUCACUGGGUUUAAAGGGUGCGUAGGCGGAUCUGUAAGUCAGUGGUGAAAUCUCCAGGCUUAACCUGGAAACUGCCGUUGAUACUAUAGGUCUUGAAUUUUGUGGAGGUUAGCGGAAUAUGUCAUGUAGCGGUGAAAUGCAUAGAUAUGACAUAGAACACCAAUUGCGAAGGCAGCUGGCUACACAACUAUUGACGCUGAGGCACGAAAGCGUGGGGAUCAAACAGGAUUAGAUACCCGAGUAGUCCCUGUCUCUUAUAC